Molecule: ribosomal RNA, 301 nt
Filed under: uncultured bacterium
Lineage: Bacteria
Description: partial 16S ribosomal RNA
Rfam family: Bacterial small subunit ribosomal RNA
Source: RNAcentral
CAGUCGCCGUGGUAAUACGGAGGGAGCUAGCGUUGUUCGGAAUUACUGGGCGUAAAGCGCGCGUAGGCGGUUACUCAAGUCAGAGGUGAAAGCCCGGGGCUCAACCCCGGAACUGCCUUUGAAACUAGGUGACUAGAAUCUUGGAGAGGUCAGUGGAAUUCCGAGUGUAGAGGUGAAAUUCGUAGAUAUUCGGAAGAACACCAGUGGCGAAGGCGACUGACUGGACAAGUAUUGACGCUGAGGUGCGAAAGCGUGGGGAGCAAACAGGAUUAGAUACCCCAGUAGUCCCUGUCUCUUAUAC